GGUCCCAUCGUCUAGUGGUUAGGACAUCAGGUUUUCAUCCUGAAAACGGGGGUUCGAUCCCCCCUGGGACUACCA
Molecule: transfer RNA, 75 nt
Filed under: Candidatus Peregrinibacteria bacterium
Lineage: Bacteria; Candidatus Peregrinibacteriota
Also listed under: 1 other name
Description: tRNA-Glu
Rfam family: tRNA
About the family: Transfer RNA (tRNA) molecules are approximately 80 nucleotides in length.
Source: RNAcentral